RNAcentral lists this small nuclear RNA (23 nucleotides) under Arabidopsis thaliana (thale cress). Its description in RNAcentral is "snRNA_00682". The record is from RNAcentral. Lineage: Eukaryota; Viridiplantae; Streptophyta; Magnoliopsida; Brassicales; Brassicaceae.
UCCACUUCAUUUUUGAAGCGGAU